Molecule: ribosomal RNA, 253 nt
Filed under: uncultured bacterium
Lineage: Bacteria
Description: partial 16S ribosomal RNA
Rfam family: Bacterial small subunit ribosomal RNA
Source: RNAcentral
UACGUAGGGGGCAAGCGUUAUCCGGAUUUACUGGGUGUAAAGGGAGCGUAGACGGCAGAGCAAGUCUGAAGUGAAAGCCCGCGGCCCAACCGCGGGACUGCAUUGGGAACUACCGGGCUGGAGUGCCGGAGAGGUAGGCGGAAUUCCUAGUGUAGCGGUGAAAUGCGUAGAUAUUAGGAGGAACACCAGUGGCGAAGGCGGUCUGCUGGACAGCAACUGACGCUGAGGCGCGAAAGCGUGGGGAGCAAACAGG